GGUAGCAGUAAAUAUUCAAAUGAGUGCUUUGAAGGCUAAAGUGGAGAAGGAUUCAGUGUGAACAGCAGUUGAACAUGGGUCAGUGGGUCCUGAGAUAGGCGAGCACCAUUCCAAAGCGUAGGCGUUGGCCUCUGUUGCUGUUAGUGAUAGAAAGGGAAUUGGGUUUGGACUCCCAAAUCCAGAGCAGUGGAGACAGGAAACACGAGGUUGCCGCCUCCAGUGUCGUAUCCUGGAGGAGCCGGUGGGAGCCCAGGGAGAGCUCUCUUCUUCCUUGUGAAGGGCAGGGUAAACUAGAAUAACUUUACAGUUCUGGAGACUUCUAGUGACUCUUGAGAUUUGGGGGAAGAGGGUGUAAAUCUCCACGACUCGGAUCCCAGCAAGUCUCCCUGGCGAAGAGCCUCCGGAC
This 406-nucleotide non-coding RNA is filed under the name Callithrix jacchus (white-tufted-ear marmoset). RNAcentral describes it as "Eukaryotic large subunit ribosomal RNA". It matches the Rfam family "Eukaryotic large subunit ribosomal RNA", at positions 1456 to 1888 of the family's 3401-position model. The record is from Rfam by way of RNAcentral. Lineage: Eukaryota; Metazoa; Chordata; Mammalia; Primates; Cebidae.